Molecule: ribosomal RNA, 724 nt
Filed under: uncultured bacterium
Lineage: Bacteria
Description: bacterial SSU rRNA
Rfam family: Bacterial small subunit ribosomal RNA
Source: RNAcentral
AGAGUUUGAUCCUGGCUCAGAGCGAACGCUGGCGGCAGGCCUAACACAUGCAAGUCGAACGAACUCUUCGGAGUUAGUGGCGGACGGGUGAGUAACACGUGGGAACGUGCCUUUAGGUUCGGAAAUAACUCAGGGGAAACUUGUGCUAAUACCGAAUGUGCCUUCGGGGGAAAGAUUUAUCGCCUUUAGAGCGGCCCGCGUCUGAUUAGCUAGUUGGUGAGGUAAAGGCUCACCAAGGCGACGAUCAGUAGCUGGUCUGAGAGGAUGAUCAGCCACAUUGGGACUGAGACCACGGCCCAAACUCCUAACGGGAGGCAGCAGUGGGGAAUCUUGCGCAAUGGGCGAAAGCCUGACGCAGCCAUGCCGCGUGAAUGAUGAAGGUCUUAGGAUUGUAAAAUUCUUUCACCGGGGACGAUAAUGACGGUACCCGGAGAAGAAGCCCCGGCUAACUUCGUGCCAGCAGCCGCGGUAAUACGAAGGGGGCUAGCGUUGCUCGGAAUUACUGGGCGUAAAGGGAGCGUAGGCGGACAUUUAAGUCAGGGGUGAAAUCCCGGGGCUCAACCUCGGAAUUGCCUUUGAUACUGGGUGUCUUGAGUAUGAGAGAGGUGUGUGGAACUCCGAGUGUAGAGGUGAAAUUCGUAGAUAUUCGGAAGAACACCAGUGGCGAAGGCGACACACUGGCUCAUUACUGACGCUGAGGCUCGAAAGCGUGGGGAGCAAACAG